GAUGAAGAACGCAGCGAAAUGCGAUAAGUAAUGUGAAUUGCAGAAUUCAGUGAAUCAUCGAGUCUUUGAACGCACAUUGCGCCCCCUGGUUUUCCGGGGGGCAUGCCUGUCCGAGCGUCAUUGCUGCCCUCAAGCACGGCUUGUGUGUUGGGCCUCCGUCCUCCUCCCGGGGGACGGGCCCGAAAGGCAGCGGCGGCACCGCGUCCGGUCCUCGAGCGUAUGGGGCUUCGUCACCCGCUCUUGUAGGCCCGGCCGGCGCUUGCCGACACAUCAAUCUUUUUUCCAGGUUGACCUCGGAUCAGGUAGGGAUACCCGCUGAACUUAAGCAUAUCAAUAAGCGGAGGA
RNAcentral lists this unclassified non-coding RNA (345 nucleotides) under soil metagenome. Its description in RNAcentral is "partial contains 5.8S ribosomal RNA, internal transcribed spacer 2, and large subunit ribosomal RNA". The stretch from base 1 to 120 matches the Rfam family "5.8S ribosomal RNA", at positions 35 to 154 of the family's 154-position model. The record is from RNAcentral.